RNAcentral lists this long non-coding RNA (1433 nucleotides) under Marmota monax (woodchuck). Lineage: Eukaryota; Metazoa; Chordata; Mammalia; Rodentia; Sciuridae. The record is from RNAcentral.
GGCCACUGGGCCUUUUCUGUCCGUGGUCACCCCCGAUUCGUCUUGUAAUUCCUGGGCCCGCCCCCGGCUCGCCAAUCCAUCCUGUGACUCUCGGACCUGCCCUCCGCAAGGUCUGUUAUCCCGGGACCUGCUCCCCGCUUUGUCCUGUCACUCCCGGACCCACUCCCAGCUCCACCUCGCCACCUCAACUCGGUCCCUUGAGCUCCUGUCUCGUCCUCAGUUGUGUUACGCCCAGAUCCAUUCCCGCCCUGUCCCGUGACCCCGGACCCUGUCAGGUCACCCUCAGCCGGGUUCCCAUUCCCUUUCCUCACCUUGAUCAGGUCUCUGCUGCGUCCCAUAAUUCCAGGACCAAAGAGACCACUCUCCGCUCCCUCCUGUCUUUUUGGGACCAGCCCCCCACACUGUCUACAUCCUGUCUCCCGACUUUGUAGGUCACUCUGUGUGCUUAGAGAAGUAAAGGAACUUGUGGCUUUUUUGUUUGUUUCAUCAAAAUCACCAUUGAGAGGUUCUAAAGGCAGUGGGAAUGUAGAGCUGGGUACUUGUCACGAUGGAUAAAUAAAAGCUCCAGGUAAUACAUCCUGUGUAGAUUUCAAAACUUAAUACCUGUAGCAAUAAAACACGUGCUGUUGAAACAGGAACAAUGACUGUUAUUGCAAUUGGUAAUCUCUAACAGGGAUUACAGAUCUUGAAUGUCUUCAGGCACCAGGUGAAUAAACCAAAUAUGAUGAAUGAUUGCCACCCAAGUAAGUGAUACCCAAUUGUAACUUCUCUGUCAAGUAAGGGAUACCCAACCAAUUUAUGACACUUCUCUGUCAAUCUAACCUUUUUUUUUUUUUUUUGGUUCUCUUUAAACUCUUUAAAUAAUUUACUUGGGCUGGGAUGUGGCCCAGGCGGUAGCGCGCUCGCCUGGCAUGCGUGCUGCCCGGGUUCGAUCCUCAGCCCCACAUACAAAAAAGGGAUGUUGUCUCCGCCAAAAACUAAAAAAAAUAAAUAUUAAAAAAUUCUCUCUCUCUCUCUCUCUCUCUCUCUCUCUUUCUCUCUCUCAAAAAAUAAAUAAAUAAAAUAAAUAAUUUACUAAUUUAAAUAAGUGAUAAGUUUCUUUAUCAAACGAAUUCCUUAAUUGACAAAAGAGCUACAAAUUUGUCACUAAGGUACACAACAUAUAAAAUACUGUUCUCUUUUUAAGUCUUAAAACUCCUUCAAGAGGUGCUGCCCUUUUCUAGCACUUAAAUUUGGUAAACAAGGUCACCCUGGUUGAUAACAAAGCAAAUAAGAAAUUAGUCUUACAACAAUAAGCUAAAUAUGAGUAUUUCCAGCAGCAAACUUCAGCCAUUAAAGGUACUCUUUCACUUUGUGUGUGUGUUUGGGGGGAGGAUACUGGAGAUCAAACUCAAGGUACUCUCUCUUUCUAUGCAAGCAUUCUACCACUGAUU